This is a non-coding RNA of Vicia faba (fava bean), 432 nucleotides long. The record is from the annotation of a GenBank genome assembly. NCBI's taxonomy places the organism in Eukaryota, Viridiplantae, Streptophyta, Magnoliopsida, Fabales, Fabaceae.
AUGGUGAAAAAGCUAGCCUUAGCAUCCUCCACACCUGUGAAUCCAACAUCCAAACAAAACACCAACUACCUUCAGAUAUUAUCCGAAUUGUUGUCUGCUCAUAAUCUCAUUUUUCUCCCUUUUUAUUUGUCUCUCCUUUGUUUCUCUUCUUCCCUCUUCUUGUUGCUCCUCUCUUCUUUGUUUUUACUUUUUGCUUCUUUUCUUUGUUUCUCUUCUUCUCUUUUCUUGGGAUCUUCCUUCUUGUUCUUCUCUUCUUUGUUUCUAUUAUUACUUUCUUUUCUUUUCUUCUCUUCUUCUCUUUUCUUGGGAUCUUCCUUCUUGUUGUCCCUCUCUUCUUUGUCUCUAUUCUUUAUUUCUUUUCUUUGUUUCUCUUCUACUCUCUUCUUGGGAUCUUCCUUCUUGUUCCUCUCUUCCUUGUUUCUUUUCUUCUCU